UCCGGGGUAGCUCAAUGGUAGAGCAAUUCGCUGUUAACGAAGAGGUUGUGGGUUCGAAUCCCACCCCCGGAG
RNAcentral lists this transfer RNA (72 nucleotides) under Minisyncoccota bacterium. RNAcentral describes it as "tRNA-Asn". It matches the Rfam family "tRNA". Rfam says of the family: Transfer RNA (tRNA) molecules are approximately 80 nucleotides in length. Their secondary structure includes four short double-helical elements and three loops (D, anti-codon, and T loops). Further hydrogen bonds mediate the characteristic L-shaped molecular structure. tRNAs have two regions of fundamental functional importance: the anti-codon, which is responsible for specific mRNA codon recognition, and the 3' end, to which the tRNAs corresponding amino acid is attached (by aminoacyl-tRNA synthetases). tRNAs cope with the degeneracy of the genetic code in two manners: having more than one tRNA (with a specific anti-codon) for a particular amino acid; and 'wobble' base-pairing, i.e. permitting non-standard base-pairing at the 3rd anti-codon position. The record is from RNAcentral. Lineage: Bacteria; Bacillati; Minisyncoccota.